GACGAACGCUGGCGGCGUGCUUAACACAUGCAAGUCGAACGGAAAGGCCCUGCUUUUGUGGGGUGCUCGAGUGGCGAACGGGUGAGUAACACGUGAGUAACCUGCCCUUGACUUUGGGAUAACUUCAGGAAACUGGGGCUAAUACCGGAUAGGAGCACCUGCUGCAUGGUGGGGGUUGGAAAGUUUCGGCGGUUGGGGAUGGACUCGCGGCUUAUCAGCUUGUUGGUGGGGUAGUGGCUUACCAAGGCUUUGACGGGUAGCCGGCCUGAGAGGGUGACCGGCCACAUGGGGACUGAGAGACGGCCCAGACUCCUACGGGAGGCAGCAGUGGGGAAUAUUGCACAAUGGGCGGAAGCCUGAUGCAGCAACGCCGCGUGCGGGAUGACGGCCUUCGGGUUGUAAACCGCUUUCGCCUGUGACGAAGCGUGAGUGGCGGUAAUGGGUAAAGAAGCACCGGCUAACUACGUG
This 468-nucleotide ribosomal RNA is filed under the name uncultured bacterium. RNAcentral describes it as "partial 16S ribosomal RNA". It matches the Rfam family "Bacterial small subunit ribosomal RNA", at positions 28 to 507 of the family's 1533-position model. The record is from RNAcentral.